CAAAAAAAAAAAUGAUUUCUUUAUCUCUCAAUUGUAUUUCUCCUAGACUAAGCGCAUGCACCUACAUACAUUUUAGGGGUUUUGUUAAAUGCUUUCCAAAGCUGUUCCAAAGCCCAGAAUGCCAAGUAUCUUGAAAAAUCCUCCACUGUCCCAUUCUGUGAUAAACAGGAUGGUCACUUCAAAUCUGUAUAGCCCACCCCAAGCACAGCACCUAGAAUGCUGCAGAUGUUUUUUAAAAUAGAAGGCUGGAAGGGAGAGACAGGGGAAGGCCUCAUAUUUAGGAUGGAAGUUGUGCGGCAGUCUUCAAGCUGUGUUUACAUAUUGAAAAUAAAAAAAAAAGAUCCCUUCUGUUGUUAUUUUAAAAAUAUAAACAAAUCUACUGUCUUGGACAGGGGUUCAUUAAGUUGGUGCAAAAGUAAUUGUGGUUUUUGUCAUUAAAAGUAAUAAACCUUUCCAACAGGUUGCUUUGGCAUUCAUAAGGCAGAGCAUCAAACAUAAACAGAUAUUAAUACCUAUUUUCCUUACAGUUGAUUGCUUUUGUCUAAUAUUGAAAUGCUCCAAAACUCCCUGUAGUGGGACAGCUCAGCUGUGGCUCCCUGGUGACCGUGCAUGUAUCCACAUAGACCACACAGUCUCUCUCAACUACGCAGUUGAGAGAGGCUAUUAUUUUUCUUUUUAUCUUUUAGAAAGAAGGAAGGAGUUUCCUGGGUACUAUGAGUCUAUCACCACUGCUUCAGCAGGCUGGAGCUACAUAUUACCAAAUAGCAGGAUGACUGUGGAAACCAUUCCAAGUAGAGCUACUUGGAUAGUUCUAAAGAUCCCGAUAUAUGGCCUCAUGGAAAUAUGGUCUUAAGUUUUAUUAAGUGAUUGCAACUUUACUUUGCAGAAACUCACCCAGUAUUUUUCAAAAUAAAAAAAGUAUUACCCCCUUUGAUUAUUUUACGCUGUUAUUAAAUAUUUAUUGAUUUAAAUUUUGCUGUUUUCAUUUUGUGUGAAUUUUUUUCUGAGAUAAAUAUUAAAGUGCACAAGUGUUAACAAUAUAACUUGAUGGAUCUUUACAUAUGUAUAUACCUGUGGAACUUCGACACAGAUCAAGAGGUAGAAUAGUUUCAACAUCCCAGAAGGCUCCUUCAUGCUUCUCCCAUUCAAUAUCACCCACCAGAGGUAACCAAUACUCUCACUUCUAUCCCCAUAGAUUUCACCUGUGUUUGGAACUUUUUGUAAAUGGAACCACACAGUACGUUGUCUUAUUUUUCUGGCUUCCUUUGCUCAAUUCUAUGUCUAUGAGAUUUAAAUAUUAUGUUGCAUUGCAUAGAAGUAAUUCAUUUUUUACUGCUGUGUAGCAUUCCAUUUUACAAAUAUAUCACAAUUUAUUCAUCUAAUCAACUGUUAAUGUAAAUUGGGGUUGUUUCUAAUUUGAAGCUACUGUGACUGAAGCUGCUAUAAAUAUUAUUGUACAUAUCUUUCAGUGGACAUAUGUGCUCAUUUGUCUUGAGUAUAUAUCUAAGAGUGAAAUUCCUGGGCCAACAGCGAGAUGUAUAUUUAUAUUUAACAGGUAUUGCCGAAUAAUUUUCCAAAGUGUCUGAACCAUUUUACAUUCCCACUAGCAAAUGUAUGAGUUCCAGUUGUUCCACAUGCUUGUUGACACUUGCUAUUGUCAUUAUUUUUAAUUUUAGCCAUUCUGGUGGGUGCAGAGAAGUACAUAACUGUGGUUGUAAUUAGGAUUUCUCUGAUGAGUAAUGAUGUAAAGAACUUUGUCAUAUGCUUAUUGGCCAUUUGGUAAGGGUUAGGCUUAGGCAUGGAUAUUCUCUUUUGUGAGGUGCCUGUUCAAGUCUUUUGUCCAUUUAUAAACUUUAUUGUCUUUUGCUUUUUGAUUUGUGGAGUUAUUUAUACAUUCUGCAUACAAGUCUUUUAUCUGAUAUAUGCAUUGUGAAUAUCUUCUCUCUAUGUAAGGUUUGCCUUUCACUAUCUGAAUUGUGUCUUUUGAUUAAAGAAGUUCUUAA
RNAcentral lists this long non-coding RNA (2003 nucleotides) under Homo sapiens (human). RNAcentral's name for it is "HSALNT0286717". The record is from RNAcentral. Lineage: Eukaryota; Metazoa; Chordata; Mammalia; Primates; Hominidae.